RNAcentral lists this ribosomal RNA (406 nucleotides) under uncultured bacterium. Its description in RNAcentral is "partial 16S ribosomal RNA". It matches the Rfam family "Bacterial small subunit ribosomal RNA", at positions 30 to 526 of the family's 1533-position model. The record is from RNAcentral.
AUUGAACGCUGGCGGCAGGCCUAACACAUGCAAGUCGAGCGAGCGGCGGACGGGUGAGUAAUGUCUGGGAAACUGCCUGAUGGAGGGGGAUAACUACUGGAAACGGUAGGCAAUACCGCAUACCAUCAGAUGUGCCCAGAUGGGUUUAGCUUGUAGGUGGGGGAACGGCUCAACUAGGCGACGAUCCCUAGCUGGUCUGAGAGGCUGACCAGCAACACUGGAACUGGGACACGGCCCAGACUCCUACGGUGGGCAUCAUUGGGGAAUCUUGUACAAUGGCCGCAAGCCGUAUGCAGCCAUGCCGCGUGUGUGAAGAAGGCCUUCGGUUUGUAAGGCACUUUCAGCGGGGAGGCGUUACCCGCAGAAGAAGCGCCGGCUAACUCCGUGCCAGCAGCCGCGGUAAUUC